AAAAGAAAGUUGCUGACUUGGUAUUGCAUACUACCACAGAUGUUGUCAGUGCUCAUACGUCACAACUUGCUCGGAUUACAAGUACAAGAGAAGAAAUGGUGGGUUUUGAUGAGGUAGUGCAAACACUAAAGGGGAAGCUAAUCAGAGGAUCAUCAGAAUUGGAUCUUAUCUCAAUUGUUGGAAUGGCCGGAUUGGGUAAGACAACUCUCGCUAACAAGCUAUUUCUUGAUCAGUUUGUUGUAUCUCAUUUUGAUGUCCGUGCACAAUGUUGUGUAUCUCA
Molecule: unclassified non-coding RNA, 280 nt
Filed under: Hevea brasiliensis (rubber tree)
Lineage: Eukaryota; Viridiplantae; Streptophyta; Magnoliopsida; Malpighiales; Euphorbiaceae
Source: RNAcentral